AUUGAACGCUGGCGGUAGGCCUAACACAUGCAAGUCGAACGGCAGCACAGUAAGAGCUUGCUCUUACGGGUGGCGAGUGGCGGACGGGUGAGGAAUACAUCGGAAUCUACUUUUUCGUGGGGGAUAACGUAGGGAAACUUACGCUAAUACCGCAUACGACCUACGGGUGAAAGCAGGGGAUCUUCGGCCCUUGCGCGAUUGAAUGAGCCGAUGUCGGAUUAGUUAGUUGGCGGGGUAAAGGCCCACCAAGGCGACGAUCCGUAGCUGGUCUGAGAGGAUGAUCAGCCACACUGGAACUGAGACACGGUCCAGACUCCUACGGGAGGCAGCAGUGGGGAAUAUUGGACAAUGGGCGCAAGCCUGAUCCAGCCAUACCGCGUGGGUGAAGAAGGCCUUCGGGUUGUAAAGCACUUUUGUUGGGAAAGAAAAGAAGCAGGUUAAUACCCCGCUGUUCUGACGGUACCCAAAGAAUAAGCACCGGCUAACUUCGUG
This 492-nucleotide ribosomal RNA is filed under the name uncultured bacterium. RNAcentral describes it as "partial 16S ribosomal RNA". It matches the Rfam family "Bacterial small subunit ribosomal RNA", at positions 30 to 507 of the family's 1533-position model. The record is from RNAcentral.